RNAcentral lists this long non-coding RNA (3203 nucleotides) under Olea europaea subsp. europaea. The record is from RNAcentral. Lineage: Eukaryota; Viridiplantae; Streptophyta; Magnoliopsida; Lamiales; Oleaceae.
CCAAAUCUACUCCUUUCUGUACUCUCUACUCUCUCUCUCUCUCUCUCUCUCUCCAUCUUCAAAACCGCGUUUUUUGCGUCAUCACUGACCUUAAAAAUUUUCCACUGUAUACUUUUCUGAAUACAUAUAUACACAUUAUCUCCCAGAAAUUUCUAGCAUUGUUUGUCUCAAUAUAUACCCAAACCAUUUCCUUUUCUUCCCUUCAUUGUUUUCUUUUUCUCCAAUUCCUGAACUUUUUCUACCAAAAAUAAGCAAUUAUCUGUGUACAAUAAGCGAGGAAGGUGUAAAAAGAAUGGACAGUAGCAAUCAGUUCUGGCAAUUUAGCGAUAAUCUGCGUUUACAGGCGAACAAUUUGGCAAAUCUGUCGCUGAAUGAUUCAAUAUGGAGCACCAACUACACCUCUAAGCGGCCGGUGGAGGAGCGGCAGAACUUUGAUAUAAGAGUCGCCGGCGGGGAGUUGAACUCAGUCAAUUUGAUCAAUCCAGGUUUCAAUUCAGUCAAUAAUGAUUUAAAAUCUGAUUUCAACAAUUUCAAUGUCGGAUUUAGCAAUGAUGGAUGGAAAACUGGUAACAUAAACUCUGGCUUCGGGUCUGUCGGUCUGAACGGUGGGUUCAAUAAAGGGAUUUAUUCAAGCCCAUCACCGAAUUUCAACAAAUUCAACAAGGGUAAGAAUGUUCAUAAUACUAAUGUUGUGGUGAAUGGGAAAGUGAACAAGGGAGGUAAAAAUGAUGAGGAAAAUGGGCAUAGCCAUAGCCAAGGGAAAAAUGGGAAGAAAAAUAAGAACAAUAAGGAUAAUACUAACAAUAAUAACAACAAUGGUGAGAACAAAAGUGCUGCAGACAAGAGAUUCAAGACUUUGCCUCCCUCCGAAUCGUUGCCGAGAAAUGAGACCGUUGGUGGCUAUAUUUUUGUCUGCAACAAUGAUACAAUGCAAGAGAAUCUCAAUCGCCAGCUCUUUGGUAAGUUUUUUGCUACUGUUCUUAGAAUUCAAUCACAAUCAUUUAUUUUUCUUGCAAUUUUAUACUGUGCUUACUGCUUAAUGCAUUUUUUGCUGAAGAAUUUUUAUUUUUCAAUGUGUUAAUUUGUGUCGGUUAAUGUUGUGAACUUGACGUUUUAAAGAUUCUGGCUUUUGUAUUUUGGUGGGUGGGUCUUCGAGAUCGUUUUGAUAACCUUUUAUAAAGUGAUCAUCUGUGAUUAAUAUACCUUAGAUGAUCUGAUACAAACAGGAUUAGUUUGGAGAAUUGCAUGAGUAAUUAAUCUGUCAAAUUAGCAGAUUGUUGGAGAAUUAUGUAAUAUUUCUUUUCCCCCAGGAGGUGUGUGAUUGUUCAUGAUCGUGAUCGGAAGAUCUAAUUUCUGGUUAUAAUUAUCCAGGUUUGGUCGAAAGAACAUGCUCAAUGUCAUUUGUUAGAUCAGAGGAUGGGUUUAGUUUAGGUUUUUUGUCAUUAGUCCAGGUUAGAAAGUUUUGAUAGUGGAGGUCAUUGCGAACCUAAAAUUCCUUCGAACUUCAGCUAUUGAAAUUAAUUUACGGGAUCUAGAUCAUGAAAUAAUACGCAGUUGAAGACAAAAUACACAUAUUUGAAGCUGAGAUUUGUUUGUCUUAGUUUGUGUUUUGCCGUUACACAUGUUUGAUUUUUCUGGUAUUUCAUAGUUUCUGUUUGUUAUUUGAGUGUAAUGCUUUCAUUGUUUGUGCAUCUCUUAAUGUGCUCCAAUAAUGACUUCAGGUUUGCCUCCUCGCUACCGAGAUUCAGUCCGAGCAAUAACUCCAGGAUUGCCUCUCUUCCUCUACAACUACUCAACCCACCAACUCCACGGAAUUUUUGAGGUUCGUUUUUGGUUUUUAUUAAGAUGAAAUCUAUCAGUCCAUACUUCUUGCAAUCAGAUGAAAGAUAGGCAUCCAAAAUCUAGAACACUUGAUCUAAUAAAUACUGACCUUACAUGCAAACGAUUCUUUUCAGGCUGCAAGCUUUGGUGGCACAAAUAUUGAUCCAACUGCUUGGGAGGACAAGAAAAACCCUGGGGAAUCGCGCUUCCCUGCUCAGGUACGUUUACUAAUGGACCUUACUCUCGACUGUGUACCAUUAGUACUUUUUUAGUCUGCAGUCUUCAAUCCCAAUAUCAAACCAUAAUUUACAAGGGACGUGUUGUCGUUUUAGGAGAUUAAUGCGUAUUAUAUUAGUUGGGAGUUUCGAGUAUAUGGUUUCACUAUGAACAUGUUAAUGAUCUUUGGAUAUUAUGAGUUUGAGAUUUACGAAUGUAAACAUUUCCAGGUGCGCGUGCUGACAAGGAAGGUUUAUGAGCCUUUGGAAGAGGACUCUUUCAGACCAAUUCUUCACCAUUACGAUGGUCCUAAGUUUCGGCUUGAACUGAAUGUCCCCGAGGUAAUUGUUCUUUAAGACUCACAUCAGUCAACAAUGUUCUUAAACGAAAUGAAUUAGCAUCAAAACUUCGACCUAAUGUUUUAUGUUGCACAUUGAAUGUUCCAGGCGAUCUCCCUUUUGGACAUUUUUGCAGAAAAUGAUCCUUGAACACAUGGCACUGAAAGUACAGGCAAACGCAUACAAUACACGGGAGAUGAACAGAUAUUAAUGUAUAGAAUGAUAGGAGUUCUUUGAAGAGGCAAAUACUCCACUUUUCUGUAUUAUGGGAAUGCAUAUUAUGCUGUAGAAAAUAAUGAAGAAGGAUUUGAAACUUGUUUGAAUAUGUAUCUUCCUAUGAUUGUUAUACAAAGUCCUAUGUUGUCGUGUGUUAGCAAAUGCAGUUGUAAGUUAUAUAGCGGCAUUUAUGUUCUACGUGAAUUGUUUACUUUAUAACCAUUCAAUACCCUCAAGAAACCAUUCAAUUUGCAAAAAAUUGAUCUCGUGGAUAGGAAUUUCCAUAGUCUGUAUCAUCUUGUAGCUUGUUCAAGCGGGCUGAUCCUUGCCUAGUGCAAAGAGGUCACGGAAGUUGGUGACCUGAUAAUAAGGAAGCCGGUGAACGGCUUCCAUAAGUAAAACGGUCGAUAUGAACUAUUGUAUAUUAUAUGCAUAGCAUAGUUAGUCUGUCUACUGUUGAUGGUAAUUAUAGCCCUUGUUCCUCAUUCUUUGGGAAAAAAUGCAUUUUUCUAUAGUACUUCGACAUCAUUUCAACCACACAUUAUUCAAUAAAAUAGUAUUACACGUAAAUCUGAAAUUUUUCUUUAUUUUUAACUACACAUUUUCUAUUAA